AAUGUUUUAUUAAAUUCCCAAUCUUAGUUACUUUAGGAAAAAUGUGAAUAAGGUGCUAUUCCAUGAAAUUACACUUUACACUUUGAUUAAGUCGUUGGUGGAGCGUGUGUGGUUAACCGGCACACUAACUUGGACUUAACAAGGUAGGUAAAGGGUGACUUAGGGUUGUAUUAUAGGUUGGUGGAGCGUGUGUGGUUAACCGGCACAUCGAUUGAGUGAUAAACUUUAAGGGUACCAAGUGAUUUGCAUGGUUACUUCACACCUCGUUUUGUGAUCCUCGGUAUCCCAGUCACAAAACUUGGAGGGCACAUUCGAGAUUGAAACAUGCCUUUGAAAAGUUCAUUGAAUCUCAAAAGAAUCUAGGAAUUU
Molecule: long non-coding RNA, 369 nt
Filed under: Lactuca sativa (garden lettuce)
Lineage: Eukaryota; Viridiplantae; Streptophyta; Magnoliopsida; Asterales; Asteraceae
Description: long non-coding RNA (LSAT_LNC008190)
Source: RNAcentral